This 426-nucleotide ribosomal RNA is filed under the name uncultured Stenotrophomonas sp. RNAcentral describes it as "bacterial SSU rRNA". It matches the Rfam family "Bacterial small subunit ribosomal RNA", at positions 356 to 774 of the family's 1533-position model. The record is from RNAcentral. Lineage: Bacteria; Pseudomonadati; Pseudomonadota; Gammaproteobacteria; Lysobacterales; Lysobacteraceae.
GGGGAAUAUUGGACAAUGGGCGAAAGCCUGAUCCAGCCAUGCCGCGUGUGUGAAGAAGGUCUUCGGAUUGUAAAGCACUUUAAGUUGGGAGGAAGGGCUGCAAGCUAAUACCUGGUUGGGAUGACGGUACCCAAAGAAUAAGCACCGGCUAACUUCGUGCCAGCAGCCGCGGUAAUACGAAGGGUGCAAGCGUUACUCGGAAUUACUGGGCGUAAAGCGUGCGUAGGUGGUCGUUUAAGUCCGUUGUGAAAGCCCUGGGCUCAACCUGGGAACUGCAGUGGAUACUGGGCGACUAGAGUGUGGUAGAGGGUAGCGGAAUUCCUGGUGUAGCAGUGAAAUGCGUAGAGAUCAGGAGGAACAUCCAUGGCGAAGGCAGCUACCUGGACCAACACUGACACUGAGGCACGAAAGCGUGGGGAGCAAACA